RNAcentral lists this ribosomal RNA (274 nucleotides) under uncultured bacterium. RNAcentral's name for it is "partial 16S ribosomal RNA". It matches the Rfam family "Bacterial small subunit ribosomal RNA", at positions 523 to 796 of the family's 1533-position model. The record is from RNAcentral.
AUACGGAGGGUGCAAGCGUUACUCGGAAUCACUGGGCGUAAAGCGCGCGCAGGUGGUUUUACAAGUCAGAUGUGAAAGCCCACGGCUCAACCGUGGAAGUGCAUUUGAAACUGUAAGACUUGAGUAUCAGAGGGGAAGGUGGAAUUCCCGGUGUAGAGGUGAAAUUCGUAGAUAUCGGGAGGAAUACCGGUGGCGAAGGCGACUUUCUGGCUGAAUACUGACGCUGAGGCGCGAAAGCGUGGGGAGCAAACAGGAUUAGAAACCCUAGUAGUCC